This 88-nucleotide small nucleolar RNA is filed under the name Megaselia scalaris. Lineage: Eukaryota; Metazoa; Arthropoda; Insecta; Diptera; Phoridae. The record is from RNAcentral.
AUUUUUUUAAAUGAUGAUAAUCUCAUUACCCAAUUUAUGAGAGAACAUGAUUAAACACUUUUAACAUGCAUCACCAUCUGAAGAAAUU